RNAcentral lists this non-coding RNA (105 nucleotides) under Planococcus glaciei. RNAcentral describes it as "Planomicrobium glaciei SAM-I sequence". It matches the Rfam family "SAM riboswitch aptamer (S box leader)". Rfam says of the family: The SAM riboswitch is found upstream of a number of genes which code for proteins involved in methionine or cysteine biosynthesis in Gram-positive bacteria. The SAM riboswitch acts at the level of transcription termination control. The predicted structure consists of a complex stem-loop region followed by a single stem loop terminator region. Lineage: Bacteria; Bacillati; Bacillota; Bacilli; Caryophanales; Caryophanaceae. The record is from RNAcentral.
AACUUAUCAAGAGAGACUGAGGGACAGGCCCAAUGACGUCCAGCAACCAUCAUUUCAUAUGAGAGGUGCUAAUUCCUGCAGAGCGUUUGCUCUGAGAGAUAAGAU